Molecule: non-coding RNA, 101 nt
Filed under: Heterosigma akashiwo
Lineage: Eukaryota; Raphidophyceae; Chattonellales; Chattonellaceae
Source: RNAcentral
UCCUAGUUAAACCGCUAAUACUUUUUUUUCUUUUUUUUUCUUCUGUCUUGCAACCAAAAGACAAUGCGUAAGGGUAGUAAAAAAGGCAAAGGCGGCCAAAG